Molecule: ribosomal RNA, 355 nt
Filed under: uncultured bacterium
Lineage: Bacteria
Description: bacterial SSU rRNA
Rfam family: Bacterial small subunit ribosomal RNA
Source: RNAcentral
GACGCACUCUCAGAGUUUGAUCCUGGCUCAGGACGAACGCUGGCGGCGCGCCUAACACAUGCAAGUCGAACGAAGCACAUCGACAGAAGUACUUGUACGGAAGAUGAUGUGACUUAGUGGCGGACGGGUGAGUAACACGUGAGCAACCUGCCUUUGUGAGGGGGAUAAUACUGGGAAACCGGUACUAAUACCGCAUAACAUAUGGAGAUGACAUCAUCACCAUAUCAAAGAUUUAUCGCACAAAGAUGGGCUCGCGCCUGAUUAGAUAGUUGGUGAGGUAACGGCCCACCAAGUCGACGAUCAGUAGCCGGACUGAGAGGUUGAUCGGCCACAUUGGGACUGAGACACGGCCCAA